Molecule: ribosomal RNA, 167 nt
Filed under: Escherichia coli 2-005-03_S3_C2
Lineage: Bacteria; Pseudomonadati; Pseudomonadota; Gammaproteobacteria; Enterobacterales; Enterobacteriaceae
Description: partial 16S ribosomal RNA
Rfam family: Bacterial small subunit ribosomal RNA
Source: RNAcentral
AGAGUUUGAUCAUGGCUCAGAUUGAACGCUGGCGGCAGGCCUAACACAUGCAAGUCGAACGGUAACAGGAAGAAGCUUGCUUCUUUGCUGACGAGUGGCGGACGGGUGAGUAAUGUCUGGGAAACUGCCUGAUGGAGGGGGAUAACUACUGGAAACGGUAGCUAAUA